GUUAUGUGAUGAACACUAUUCAGUUCUGCUUCCGAAAGAGAGAGUAAUCUCCUUGUGGACAACCUGUAUACCAAAAACUCAAUUCUGACCU
This 91-nucleotide small nucleolar RNA is filed under the name Phlebiopsis gigantea 11061_1 CR5-6. Lineage: Eukaryota; Fungi; Basidiomycota; Agaricomycetes; Polyporales; Phanerochaetaceae. The record is from RNAcentral.